RNAcentral lists this ribosomal RNA (28 nucleotides) under Empria alector. RNAcentral's name for it is "partial 5.8S ribosomal RNA". RNAcentral also lists the same sequence under 27 other names. The record is from RNAcentral. Lineage: Eukaryota; Metazoa; Arthropoda; Insecta; Hymenoptera; Tenthredinidae.
UUCCCGGACCACGCCUGGCUGAGGGUCG